Molecule: ribosomal RNA, 428 nt
Filed under: uncultured bacterium
Lineage: Bacteria
Description: bacterial SSU rRNA
Rfam family: Bacterial small subunit ribosomal RNA
Source: RNAcentral
UAGGGAAUUUUCGUCAAUGGGCGCAAGCCUGAACGAGCAAUGCCGCGUGAACGAGGAAGGUCUUCGGAUCGUAAAGUUCUGUUGAAGGGGAAAAAGAGCGGAGAGAGGAAAUGCUUUCUGAUUGAUAUUACCCUUCGAGGAAGUCACGGCUAACUACGUGCCAGCAGCCGCGGUAAUACGUAGGUGGCGAGCGUUAUCCGGAAUGAUUGGGCGUAAAGGGUGCGUAGGCGGCCUGCUAAGUCUGGAGUGAAAGGUACCGGCUCAACCGGUACAGGCUCUGGAAACUGGCGGGCUAGAGAGCAGGAGAGGGCGGUGGAACUCCAUGUGUAGCGGUAAAAUGCGUAGAUAUAUGGAAGAACACCAGUGGCGAAGGCGGCCGCCUGGCCUGUUACUGACGCUGAGGCACGAAAGCGUGGGGAGCAAAUAGG